This 251-nucleotide long non-coding RNA is filed under the name Lathyrus oleraceus (garden pea). RNAcentral describes it as "Pisum sativum (pea) long non-coding RNA (PSAT_LNC025385)". Lineage: Eukaryota; Viridiplantae; Streptophyta; Magnoliopsida; Fabales; Fabaceae. The record is from RNAcentral.
AGCUUUAAGUGGUGGAGAAUGAGUGAGAAUGGAGCAUUCAUAUCCUCACUCUGAUUAUUUUGGACGUAAGACGAUUGGCUUGUUGUCUAGAAUAUUCACCUCCACCCCUAGACUUUAGUGCAAUCUAAUCACAAAUAUUAUUUUCAUAAACCCUUGUUUAAGGUAAAAUCAACACAACCCAUCAAACCUAAUUUUUGUGCCUUAGGGCACCACUCCGAAAACCAUUUUCUCAAAGGUAAAUUCAACCAACA